UUUCGUACAUAUUCAACCCGGAGGAAUCUACGGUUAAGAUAUUCACAGACAGCGUGUCCCAACCCUUUUAUCGUGCAGAACCCGAGCCUUUUUCUCUAGCGCUAAGGAUGCGAGAAUGGCUUAAAAUAAGGCUAGCUUUGUGUCAAAUGGAACGUGCCCUGAGUGCUUCAAUGCUGCCAGGAUAUGCGUUGGAAGAACAAGUCUGUGGACGUCAGGAUCUAAUGGCCCUGAGAGUCACAUCCAUGGGUUAUACCCCGGACUCCAGAGUGACAAUUUUAGCAUGUGAACAAUUUGACAGGUCAAAUGCUACGAAAACGGUCAGUCCAUAUGUAUCCUCCAAAGCAUGCAAGGAUGUAAAUUUUUUUCAAAUAAUGUUCAGUUUUAAAUGGCGCGAUUACCACAUUUUCCGAACCCUGAUGAAUAAGCUGGACAGUCUUUUCGAAAAUCGUGAACAAUUACGGCGAUGGCCUAGGUUAUCGUUGAGACAUAGGUUAUCGUUGAGACAUACACCGGAACAACAACAAGUUCGAAGGCGGAUCUUUCCCUGGCAGGAAAGUGGACAGAGCUUCGACGGAGCGAAAAGACUUUGUGAUGGGGAAUUGGAAACGGAUCAUGUUCAGGGCUAACAGGACCCCAUAUAUCUGAUCCCCGACAUUUACGCAGCUUUUACGCGAUUUACCUGAUCUGGAACAUGAUGGGGGUUCGCAGGAGCAAAAGUCUGGCAGACAAUCACCAACGGCCUUUUUUCGUUCCGACAUACAGCCCUUUAUCAUAAAGGAUGCGUUAUGGACAGCUGACACGCAGGACUUUGAUGCAAUUCUACCGUUCACUGUGGCCCAAGUACACUGCUCAGAAUCAAGCCCACCCGAAAACUACUGUUGGGCCGGGAACUUGCUGCUUCACG
This is a long non-coding RNA of Oncorhynchus nerka (sockeye salmon), 904 nucleotides long. RefSeq lists it as uncharacterized. The record is from RefSeq and is a predicted model, not a curated record. The transcript has 3 exons. NCBI's taxonomy places the organism in Eukaryota, Metazoa, Chordata, Actinopteri, Salmoniformes, Salmonidae.